This is a long non-coding RNA of Homo sapiens (human), 950 nucleotides long. RefSeq annotates it as lncRNA periodontal mesenchymal stem cell osteogenesis related. The transcript has 4 exons. Lineage: Eukaryota; Metazoa; Chordata; Mammalia; Primates; Hominidae. The record is from RefSeq and is marked validated.
AUAUGCCCUUUAAAGCAAGUAGAGCACAUUACUCAUCACUCAAUCUCCAGGACCAAGUUAAUGUUCUGUAUAUAGUAAUGUCGACAGCAACAUCUCCCCCAGGUGUAACAACUAAACGUGUCUCCAGACAUUGGCAAAUAUCCUUGGGCCAUGGAGAAAACAUCACCUUCAAUUGAAAACCACUGGGCCACUCUAAUGCCUUCAAGGGACAGAUCCCAGGUCUAAACCCUAGCCAAAACCCCUUGUGUUAGAGGAGCUCACCCUUUACUGCUGAUGAAAUCUCCAUGAUGAAGUGCUUUCCUGGUGACACCCAGAGAUCGUUUGCUAUGUGAAUGCUUUUCUUGCUCAAAUUUCAACAAACAUGAUUGUACUAAAUCGCUAACACCUGGAAUUUCAAAGACAACAGUGGAAAGGAAAUGAGACUUGGAAUCAAAAGACUUCAGUUUCAAUCUAAAGUCCCUGAAUGUGUAAACUAUUGUGAUUUUUCUUAGCUACAGUCCUCUCACUUAUAAAAUGUUUACUGUCCUCAGUAGUACAUUGUGAAAUAUCUUGUGAGAAGGCUUUAUAUAUAGUGAGGAACUAUCCAAGCAUUAAUAAUUUUUUUCAUCUCUAGCUACAUAUCCCUUGAUCAUAAAGAAGAUACUACAAAAUAUUCAAAGAUAAAAUAUUAACACUCACCAGCAAAACAAAAUAUAGAAUGAUCUAGAGAGGUUUGGGGCAUAUACAGAAGAAAAAUAAUCAGAAAAUCCCAACAAACUGUCUAAAUGACAUACAGUUUCUCAUUCUUAAUGCUAUUGAUAUUUUAGACAUGAUAAUUUAUUGUCAUAGGGGAAGGGGGAGAUUGUCCUGUGCAUUGUAUGAUGUUUAGUCAUAUUCCUUUUUAAGUGGCCCAACAGAUUUCCACUUGCUUCAAAGUUAGUCAUUUCCACUGUGAUUAGAAUAUAUAUAUA